RNAcentral lists this ribosomal RNA (253 nucleotides) under uncultured bacterium. Its description in RNAcentral is "partial 16S ribosomal RNA". It matches the Rfam family "Bacterial small subunit ribosomal RNA", at positions 524 to 776 of the family's 1533-position model. The record is from RNAcentral.
UACGUAGGGUGCGAGCGUUAAUCGGAAUUACUGGGCGUAAAGUGUGCGCAGGCGGCCAUGCAAGUCGAGUGUGAAAGCCCCGGGCUUAACUUGGGAAUUGCGCUCGAAACUACGUGGCUGGAGUGUGGCUGAGGAAGGUGGAAUUCCACGUGUAGCGGUGAAAUGCGUAGAGAUGUGGAGGAACACCAAUGGCGAAGGCAGCCUUCUGGGCCAACACUGACGCUCAUGCACGAAAGCGUGGGGAGCGAACAGG